RNAcentral lists this ribosomal RNA (403 nucleotides) under uncultured bacterium. Its description in RNAcentral is "partial 16S ribosomal RNA". It matches the Rfam family "Bacterial small subunit ribosomal RNA", at positions 28 to 526 of the family's 1533-position model. The record is from RNAcentral.
GACGAACGCUGGCGGCGUGCCUAAUACAUGCAAGUCGAACGCAGUGGGGACGGGUGAGUAACACGUGGGUAACCUCCCAUCAGAGGGGAUAACACUUGGAAACAGGUGCUAAACCCAUACUGGUGGAUGGACCCGCGGUGCAUUAGCUAGUUGGUGGGGUAACGGCUUACCAAGGCCACGAUGCAUAGCCGGCCUGAGAGGAUGAUCGGCCAAACUGGAACUGAGACACGGCCCAGACUCCUACGGGAGGCAGCAGUAGGGAAUUUUGGGCAAUGGACGAAAGUCUGACCGAGCAACGCCGCGUGAGUGAAGAAGGUUUUCGGAUCGUAAAACUCUGUUGUUGGAGAAGCGGUAUCUAACCAGAAAGCCACGGCUAACUACGUGCCAGCAGCCGCGGUAAUAC